GGUGAAGAACGCAGCGAAAUGCGAUAAGUAAUGCGAAUUGCAGAAUUCAGUGAGUCAUCGAAUCUUUGAACGCACAUUGCGCCCUGUGGUAUUCCGCAGGGCAUGCCUGUUCGAGCGUCAUUUCAACCCUCAAGCCCCGCUUGGUGUUGGGCCCCGCCCGCUGUGGCCGGCCCUAAAGACAGUGGCGGCGCCGCCUGGCCCUCAGCGUAGUACAUCUCUCGCUCCAGGGUCCGGUGGCCGCCUGCCAGAACCCCCCAACUCUGUGGUUGACCUCGGAUCAGGUAGGAAUACCCGCUGAACUUAAGCAUAUCAAUAAGCGGAGGA
RNAcentral lists this unclassified non-coding RNA (324 nucleotides) under soil metagenome. Its description in RNAcentral is "partial contains 5.8S ribosomal RNA, internal transcribed spacer 2, and large subunit ribosomal RNA". The stretch from base 3 to 120 matches the Rfam family "5.8S ribosomal RNA", at positions 37 to 154 of the family's 154-position model. The record is from RNAcentral.